This 443-nucleotide ribosomal RNA is filed under the name uncultured bacterium. Its description in RNAcentral is "partial 16S ribosomal RNA". It matches the Rfam family "Bacterial small subunit ribosomal RNA", at positions 338 to 795 of the family's 1533-position model. The record is from RNAcentral.
CCUACGGGGGGCAGCAGUGGGGAAUAUUGGGCAAUGGGCGAAAGCCUGAACCAGCAACGCCGCGUGAGGGAAGAAGGCUUUCGGGUUGUAAACUUCUUUUCUGAGGGACGAAGAAAGUGACGGUACCUCAGGAAUAAGCCACGGCUAACUACGUGCCAGCAGCCGCGGUAAUACGUAGGGGGCAAGCGUUAUCCGGAUUUAUUGGGUGUAAAGGGCGUGUAGGCGGGAAAGCAAGUCAGAUGUGAAAGCUCAGGGCUCAACCCUGAGCCUGCAUUUGAAACUGUUUUUCUUUAGUGCUGGAGAGGCAAGCGGAAUUCCGUGUGUAGCGGUGAAAUGCGUAGAGAUACGGAGGAACACCAGUGGCGAAGGCGGAUUGCUGGACAGUAACUGACGCUGAGGCACGAAAGCGUGGGGAGCAAACAGGAUUAGAUACCCUUGUAGUC